RNAcentral lists this RNase P RNA (319 nucleotides) under Candidatus Bathyarchaeota archaeon. RNAcentral describes it as "RNase P RNA component". It matches the Rfam family "Archaeal RNase P". From Rfam's summary of the family: Ribonuclease P (RNase P) is a ubiquitous endoribonuclease, found in archaea, bacteria and eukarya as well as chloroplasts and mitochondria. Its best characterised activity is the generation of mature 5'-ends of tRNAs by cleaving the 5'-leader elements of precursor-tRNAs. The record is from RNAcentral. Lineage: Archaea; Thermoproteati; Candidatus Bathyarchaeota.
GUGAGCCGAUGGGCGGAUGUCGGGAGCUUGAGGAGGGGAUUCUCAAGCGCCUGAGGAAACUUCCUUCUCCAUGCGGGUAUCGCGGCGCCGUGAGGCGCAGGGGGAGACCCCUAGCUACGGGACAGAAAAGACACCCGCUCGGAGCAGAUGUGGAUGAUGAGGCAAUAGAAGCCUUUGACGACAUCCGGUGGCGGGAUGAAAAUCCCAGACUCGCGAGGAGCAAGACCGAAAGAGCCCGGAUGACUUACCCGCAGGAUGGGCGGGUGGGUCGCUUAGUCGAAUUCCGCCUAAAACAGAAAAGGAGUUACGGUCGGCACAC